Molecule: ribosomal RNA, 486 nt
Filed under: eukaryotic picoplankton environmental sample
Lineage: Eukaryota
Description: bacterial SSU rRNA
Rfam family: Eukaryotic small subunit ribosomal RNA
Source: RNAcentral
UCUGGGGGACGCUGCCAGAAGGAAGAAGAUUGAGGGAAAGAGGAAGAAAUGAAGGGCAAAGAAUAAACAACUUUAACUGUGAAACUGCGAACGGCUCAUUAUAUCAGCAAUAAUUUAUUUGAUGGUUCCUUACUACACGGAUAACUGUAGUAAUUCUAGAGCUAAUACGUGCGUAAAAUCCCGACUCUUGCGGGGAGGGAUGUAUUUAUUAGAUAAAAAGCCAGCGCGGGUUCUGCCCGGUUUUGUGGUGAAUCAUAGUAACUUUUCGAAUCGCAUGGCUUCACGCCGGCGAUAGUUCAUUCAAAUUUCUGCCCUAUCAGCUUUCGACGGUAGUGUAGUGGACUACCGUGGCAUUAACGGGUAACGGAGAAUUAGGGUUCGAUUCCGGAGAGGGAGCCUGAGAAACGGCUACCACAUCCAAGGAAGGCAGCAGGCGCGCAAAUUACCCAAUUCUGACACAGAGAGGUAGUGACAAAAAAUAACAAU